GACGAACGCUGGCGGCGUGCUUAACACAUGCAAGUCGAACGGAAAGGCCCUGCUUUUGUGGGGUACUCGAGUGGCGAACGGGUGAGUAACUCGUGAGUAACCUGCCCUUGACUUUGGGAUAACUUCAGGAAACUGGGGCUAAUACCGGAUAGGAGCUCCUGCUGCAUGGUGGGGGUUGGAAAGUUUCGGCGGUUGGGGAUGGACUCGCGGCUUAUCAGCUUGUUGGUGGGGUAGUGGCUUACCAAGGCUUUGACGGGUAGCCGGCCUGAGAGGGUGACCGGCCACAUUGGGACUGAGAUACGGCCCAGACUCCUACGGGAGGCAGCAGUGGGGAAUAUUGCACAAUGGGCGGAAGCCUGAUGCAGCAACGCCGCGUGCGGGAUGACGGCCUUCGGGUUGUAAACCGCUUUCGCCUGUGACGAAGCGUGAGUGACGGUAAUGGGUAAAGAAGCACCGGCUAACUACGUG
This 468-nucleotide ribosomal RNA is filed under the name uncultured bacterium. RNAcentral describes it as "partial 16S ribosomal RNA". It matches the Rfam family "Bacterial small subunit ribosomal RNA", at positions 28 to 507 of the family's 1533-position model. The record is from RNAcentral.